AGCGAGACCUUCGGGUCUAGCGGCGGACGGGUUAGUAACGCGUGGGAACGUACCCUUUUCUAAGGAAUAGCCACUGGAAACGGUGAGUAAUGCCUUAUACGCCCUUCGGGGGAAAGAUUUAUCGGAGAAGGAUCGGCCCGCGUUAGAUUAGAUAGUUGGUGGGGUAAUGGCCCUACCAAGUCUACGAUCUAUAGCUGGUUUGAGAGGAUGAUCAGCAACACUGGGACUGAGACACGGCCCAGACUCCUACGGGAGGCAGCAGUGGGGAAUCUUAGACAAUGGGCGCAAGCCUGAUCUAGCCAUGCCGCGUGAGUGAUGAAGGCCUUAGGGUCGUAAAGCUCUUUCGCCUGUGAAGAUAAUGACUGUAGCAGGUAAAGAAACCCCGGCUAACUCCGUGCCAGCAGCCGCGGUAAUACGGAGGGGGUUAGCGUUGUUCGGAAUUACUGGGCGUAAAGCGCGCGUAGGCGGACAUUUAAGUCAGAGGUGAAAUCCCAGGGCUCAACCCUGGAACUGCCUUUGAUACUGGGUGUCUUGAGUUCGAGAGAGGUGAGUGGAAUUCCGAGUGUAGAGGUGAAAUUCGUAGAUAUUCGGAGGAACACCAGUGGCGAAGGCGGCUCACUGGCUCGAUACUGACGCUGAGGUGCGAAAGUGUGGGGAGCAAACAGGAUUAGAUACCCUGGUAGUCCACACCGUAAACGAUGAAUGC
RNAcentral lists this ribosomal RNA (706 nucleotides) under alpha proteobacterium SY255. RNAcentral describes it as "bacterial SSU rRNA". It matches the Rfam family "Bacterial small subunit ribosomal RNA", at positions 65 to 816 of the family's 1533-position model. Lineage: Bacteria; Pseudomonadati; Pseudomonadota; Alphaproteobacteria. The record is from RNAcentral.